This 475-nucleotide ribosomal RNA is filed under the name uncultured bacterium. Its description in RNAcentral is "bacterial SSU rRNA". It matches the Rfam family "Bacterial small subunit ribosomal RNA", at positions 30 to 507 of the family's 1533-position model. The record is from RNAcentral.
AUUGAACGCUGGCGGAAUGCUUUACACAUGCAAGUCGAACGGUAGAGGGGGCAACCCCUUGAGAGUGGCGAACGGGUGAGUAAUAUAUCGGAACGUGCCCAGUCGUGGGGGAUAACGUAGCGAAAGUUACGCUAAUACCGCAUACGAUCUACGGAUGAAAGCGGGGGACCGUAAGGCCUCGCGCAAUUAGAGCGGCCGAUACCUGAUUAGCUAGUUGGUAGGGUAACGGCCUACCAAGGCGACGAUCAGUAGGGGAUGUGAGAGCAUGAUCCCCCACACGGGUACUGAGACACGGACCCGACUCCUACGGGAGGCAGCAGUAAGGAAUAUUGGACAAUGGUCGGAAGACUGAUCCAGCCAUGCCGCGUGAAGGAUGAAGGCGCUCAGCGUUGUAAACUUCUUUUGUACGGGAACAAAAUGCGACCUGCGGGUUGUACUGAGGGUACCGUAAGAAUAAGCACCGGCUAACUCCGUG